Molecule: ribosomal RNA, 2245 nt
Filed under: Klebsiella pneumoniae MGH 35
Lineage: Bacteria; Pseudomonadati; Pseudomonadota; Gammaproteobacteria; Enterobacterales; Enterobacteriaceae
Description: bacterial LSU rRNA
Rfam family: Bacterial large subunit ribosomal RNA
Source: RNAcentral
CAGGGUAUAGACCCGAAACCCGGUGAUCUAGCCAUGGGCAGGUUGAAGGUUGGGUAACACUAACUGGAGGACCGAACCGACUAAUGUUGAAAAAUUAGCGGAUGACUUGUGGCUGGGGGUGAAAGGCCAAUCAAACCGGGAGAUAGCUGGUUCUCCCCGAAAGCUAUUUAGGUAGCGCCUCGUGAAUUCAUCUUCGGGGGUAGAGCACUGUUUCGGCUAGGGGGUCAUCCCGACUUACCAACCCGAUGCAAACUACGAAUACCGAAGAAUGUUAUCACGGGAGACACACGGCGGGUGCUAACGUCCGUCGUGAAGAGGGAAACAACCCAGACCGCCAGCUAAGGUCCCAAAGUCAUGGUUAAGUGGGAAACGAUGUGGGAAGGCACAGACAGCCAGGAUGUUGGCUUAGAAGCAGCCAUCAUUUAAAGAAAGCGUAAUAGCUCACUGGUCGAGUCGGCCUGCGCGGAAGAUGUAACGGGGCUAAACCAUGCACCGAAGCUGCGGCAGCGACACUAUGUGUUGUUGGGUAGGGGAGCGUUCUGUAAGCCUGCGAAGGUGACCUGUGAGGGUUGCUGGAGGUAUCAGAAGUGCGAAUGCUGACAUAAGUAACGAUAAAGCGGGUGAAAAGCCCGCUCGCCGGAAGACCAAGGGUUCCUGUCCAACGUUAAUCGGGGCAGGGUGAGUCGACCCCUAAGGCGAGGCCGAAAGGCGUAGUCGAUGGGAAACAGGUUAAUAUUCCUGUACUUGGUGUUACUGCGAAGGGGGGACGGAGAAGGCUAUGUUAGCCGGGCGACGGUUGUCCCGGUUUAAGCAUGUAGGCUGGUUAUCCAGGCAAAUCCGGAUAAUCAAGGCUGAGGUGUGAUGACGAGGCACUACGGUGCUGAAGUAACAAAUGCCCUGCUUCCAGGAAAAGCCUCUAAGCAUCAGGUAACAUUAAAUCGUACCCCAAACCGACACAGGUAGUCAGGUAGAGAAUACCAAGGCGCUUGAGAGAACUCGGGUGAAGGAACUAGGCAAAAUGGUGCCGUAACUUCGGGAGAAGGCACGCUGGUGUGUAGGUGAAGUCCCUGCGGAUGGAGCUGAGACCAGUCGAAGAUACCAGCUGGCUGCAACUGUUUAUUAAAAACACAGCACUGUGCAAACACGAAAGUGGACGUAUACGGUGUGACGCCUGCCCGGUGCCGGAAGGUUAAUUGAUGGGGUUAUCCGUAAGGAGAAGCUCUUGAUCGAAGCCCCGGUAAACGGCGGCCGUAACUAUAACGGUCCUAAGGUAGCGAAAUUCCUUGUCGGGUAAGUUCCGACCUGCACGAAUGGCGUAAUGAUGGCCAGGCUGUCUCCACCCGAGACUCAGUGAAAUUGAACUCGCUGUGAAGAUGCAGUGUACCCGCGGCAAGACGGAAAGACCCCGUGAACCUUUACUAUAGCUUGACACUGAACAUUGAGCCUUGAUGUGUAGGAUAGGUGGGAGGCUUUGAAGCGUGGACGCCAGUCUGCGUGGAGCCGACCUUGAAAUACCACCCUUUAAUGUUUGAUGUUCUAACGUUGGCCCCUUACCGGGGUUGCGGACAGUGUCUGGUGGGUAGUUUGACUGGGGCGGUCUCCUCCCAAAGCGUAACGGAGGAGCACGAAGGUUAGCUAAUCCUGGUCGGACAUCAGGAGGUUAGUGCAAUGGCAUAAGCUAGCUUGACUGCGAGCGUGACGGCGCGAGCAGGUGCGAAAGCAGGUCAUAGUGAUCCGGUGGUUCUGAAUGGAAGGGCCAUCGCUCAACGGAUAAAAGGUACUCCGGGGAUAACAGGCUGAUACCGCCCAAGAGUUCAUAUCGACGGCGGUGUUUGGCACCUCGAUGUCGGCUCAUCACAUCCUGGGGCUGAAGUAGGUCCCAAGGGUAUGGCUGUUCGCCAUUUAAAGUGGUACGCGAGCUGGGUUUAGAACGUCGUGAGACAGUUCGGUCCCUAUCUGCCGUGGGCGCUGGAGAAUUGAGGGGGGCUGCUCCUAGUACGAGAGGACCGGAGUGGACGCAUCACUGGUGUUCGGGUUGUCAUGCCAAUGGCACUGCCCGGUAGCUAAAUGCGGAAGAGAUAAGUGCUGAAAGCAUCUAAGCACGAAACUUGCCCCGAGAUGAGUUCUCCCUGAGACUUUAAGUCUCCUGAAGGAACGUUGAAGACGACGACGUUGAUAGGCCGGGUGUGUAAGCGCAGCGAUGCGUUGAGCUAACCGGUACUAAUGAACCGUGAGGCUUAACCUU